RNAcentral lists this ribosomal RNA (162 nucleotides) under Cyamopsis tetragonoloba (guar). RNAcentral's name for it is "5.8S ribosomal RNA". It matches the Rfam family "5.8S ribosomal RNA". From Rfam's summary of the family: 5.8S ribosomal RNA (5.8S rRNA) is a component of the large subunit of the eukaryotic ribosome. It is transcribed by RNA polymerase I as part of the 45S precursor that also contains 18S and 28S rRNA. The record is from RNAcentral. Lineage: Eukaryota; Viridiplantae; Streptophyta; Magnoliopsida; Fabales; Fabaceae.
AAAUGACUCUCGGCAACGGAUAUCUCGGCUCUCGCAUCGAUGAAGAACGUAGCGAAAUGCGAUACUUGGUGUGAAUUGCAGAAUCCCGCGAACCAUCGAGUCUUUGAACGCAAGUUGCGCCCGAAGCCAUUAGGCCGAGGGCACGCCUGCCUGGGCGUCGCG